This 468-nucleotide ribosomal RNA is filed under the name uncultured bacterium. RNAcentral describes it as "partial 16S ribosomal RNA". It matches the Rfam family "Bacterial small subunit ribosomal RNA", at positions 28 to 523 of the family's 1533-position model. The record is from RNAcentral.
GAUGAACGCUGGCGGCGUGCCUAACACAUGCAAGUCGAGCGAUUCUCUUCGGAGAAGAGCGGCGGACGGGUGAGUAACGCGUGGGUAACCUGCCCUGUACACACGGAUAACAUACCGAAAGGUAUGCUAAUACGAGAUAAUAUGCUUUUAUCGCAUGGUAGAAGUAUCAAAGCUUUUGCGGUACAGGAUGGACCCGCGUCUGAUUAGCUAGUUGGUAAGGUAACGGCUUACAAAGGCGACGAUCAGUAGCCGACCUGAGAGGGUGAUCGGCCACAUUGGAACUGAGACACGGUCCAAACUCCUACGGGAGGCAGCAGUGGGGAAUAUUGCACAAUGGGCGAAAGCCUGAUGCAGCAACGCCGCGUGAACGAUGAAGGCCUUCGGGUCGUAAAGCUCUGUCCUCAAGGAAGAUAAUGACGGUACUUGAGGAGGAAGCCCCGGCUAACUACGUGCCAGCAGCCGCGGUAA